AAAACACUUUCCAGCCUCCUUAAAAGGAAGAGGAAAACAUUGUUAUCGUCUAAGGUUGAUAAAGAUUGUGGAUGUAAUAAGAACUUCUGGCGUGAUUAUUGAGAAUUGUUCAGCGAGGAUGGAACUGCACCCACCAAAAGUAGAUGACUUAGCAUUAGGGAUUACAAGAAAAUUCUUCCUAUCAGCUCUGGUUGCCUGGUUUGGCGCUUGUGAAUCAGAUCAGCAAGAUAAACAGCAGCGGUCCCGUGCAGGUACUUGAAGGUCAGCAAUAGUAUCUUGUAUUCGAUCC
This is a long non-coding RNA of Actinia tenebrosa (Australian red waratah sea anemone), 289 nucleotides long. RefSeq lists it as uncharacterized. NCBI's taxonomy places the organism in Eukaryota, Metazoa, Cnidaria, Anthozoa, Actiniaria, Actiniidae. The record is from RefSeq and is a predicted model, not a curated record.